GCCAGGCGUGGUGGUGAGCACCUGUAGUCCCAGCUACUCAGGAGACUGAGGUAGGAGGAUCACUUGAGCCUGGGAAGUCAAGGCUGCAGUGAGCCGUGAUUGCGCCACUGCACUCCAGCCUGGGCAACAGAGUGAGACCCUACCUCAA
Molecule: non-coding RNA, 148 nt
Filed under: Nomascus leucogenys (northern white-cheeked gibbon)
Lineage: Eukaryota; Metazoa; Chordata; Mammalia; Primates; Hylobatidae
Source: Rfam by way of RNAcentral